This 423-nucleotide ribosomal RNA is filed under the name uncultured bacterium. Its description in RNAcentral is "bacterial SSU rRNA". It matches the Rfam family "Bacterial small subunit ribosomal RNA", at positions 917 to 1344 of the family's 1533-position model. The record is from RNAcentral.
GGGCCCGCACAAGCGGUGGAGCAUGUGGUUUAAUUCGAUGAUACGCGAGGAACCUUACCAGGGCUUAAAUGUACGUUGCAUAAAUCAGAGAUGUUUUUUUCUUCGGACUACGUACAAGGUGCUGCAUGGUUGUCGUCAGCUCGUGCCGUGAGGUGUCAGGUUAAGUCCUAUAACGAGCGCAACCCCUGUCGUUAGUUGCCAGCAUUUAAGAUGGGUACUCUAGCGAGACUGCCGGUGCAAACCGCGAGGAAGGUGGGGAUGACGUCAAAUCAUCACGGCCCUUACGUCCUGGGCUACACACGUGCUACAAUGGCCGGUACAGAGAGCAGCCACUACGCGAGUAGGAGCGAAUCUACAAAACCGGUCUCAGUUCGGAUCGUAGGCUGCAACUCGCCUACGUGAAGGCGGAAUCGCUAGUAAUCG